CAGUCGCCGCGGGAAUACGAAGGGGGCUAGCGUUGUUCGGAAUUACUGGGCGUAAAGCGCACGUAGGCGGAUAUUUAAGUCAGGGGUGAAAUCCCGCAGCUCAACUGCGGAACUGCCUUUGAUACUGGGUAUCUUGAGUAUGGAAGAGGUUAGUGGAAUUGCGAGUGUAGAGGUGAAAUUCGUAGAUAUUCGCAGGAACACCAGUGGCGAAGGCGGCUAACUGGUCCAUAACUGACGCUGAGGUGCAAAAGCGUGGGGAGCAAACAGGAUUAGAUACCCCCGUAGUCCCUGUCUCUUAUAC
Molecule: ribosomal RNA, 301 nt
Filed under: uncultured bacterium
Lineage: Bacteria
Description: partial 16S ribosomal RNA
Rfam family: Bacterial small subunit ribosomal RNA
Source: RNAcentral